AUACGUAGGGGGCGAGCGUUGUCCGGAAUGAUUGGGCGUAAAGGGCGCGUAGGCGGCGCGGUAAGUCUGGAGUGAAAGUCCUGCUUUCAAGGUGGGAAUUGCUUUGGAUACUGCCGCGCUUGAGUGCAGGAGAGGUUAUCGGAAUUCCCGGUGUAGCGGUGAAAUGCGUAGAGAUCGGGAGGAACACCAGUGGCGAAGGCGGGUAACUGGACUGCAACUGACGCUGAGGCGCGAAAGUGUGGGGAGCAAACAGGAUUAGAUACCCUGGUAGUCCACACCGUAAACGAUGAAUGCUAGGUGUAAGAGGUAUCGACCCCUUUUGUGCCGGAGUCAACACAAUAAGCAUUCCGCCUGGGGAGUACGGCCGCAAGGUUGGAACUCAAAUGAAUUGACGGGG
This 397-nucleotide ribosomal RNA is filed under the name uncultured bacterium. RNAcentral describes it as "partial 16S ribosomal RNA". It matches the Rfam family "Bacterial small subunit ribosomal RNA", at positions 523 to 918 of the family's 1533-position model. The record is from RNAcentral.